CCAAUAGCGUAUAUUAAAGUUGCUGCAGUUAAAAAGCUCGUAGUUGAAUUUCGGGACCAAUAUGUCGGUCGUGCCUCGGUACGUACUGGCAUUUUUGGUUUCUCCCUUCUGAAGAACCUUGAUGUCAUUAAUUUUGUGUCUUGGGGAAUCAGGACUGUUACUUUGAAAAAAUUAGAGUGUUUAAAGCAGGCUUGCGCUUGAAUACAUUAGCAUGGAAUAAUGAAAUAGGACGUUUGAUUCUAUUUUGUUGGUUUCUAGGAUCGACGUAAUGAUUAAUAGGGAUAGUUGGGGGCAUUAGUAUUCAAUUGUCAGAGGUGAAAUUCUUGGAUUUAUUGAAGACUAACUACUGCGAAAGCAUUUGCCAAGGAUGUUUUCAUUAAUCAAGAACGAAAGUUAGGGGAUCGAAGACGAUCAGAUACCGUCGUAGUCUUAACCAUAAACUAUGCCGACUAGGGAUCGGAUGAUGUUAAUUUUUUAAUGACUCAUUCGGCGCCUUACG
This 499-nucleotide ribosomal RNA is filed under the name uncultured Glomeromycotina. RNAcentral describes it as "partial small subunit ribosomal RNA". It matches the Rfam family "Eukaryotic small subunit ribosomal RNA", at positions 591 to 1092 of the family's 1831-position model. Lineage: Eukaryota; Fungi; Glomeromycota. The record is from RNAcentral.